Molecule: ribosomal RNA, 270 nt
Filed under: Acinetobacter sp.
Lineage: Bacteria; Pseudomonadati; Pseudomonadota; Gammaproteobacteria; Moraxellales; Moraxellaceae
Description: partial 16S ribosomal RNA
Rfam family: Bacterial small subunit ribosomal RNA
Source: RNAcentral
CGCGGUAAUACAGAGGGUGCGAGCGUUAAUCGGAUUUACUGGGCGUAAAGCGUGCGUAGGCGGCUUUUUAAGUCGGAUGUGAAAUCCCCGAGCUUAACUUGGGAAUUGCAUUCGAUACUGGGAAGCUAGAGUAUGGGAGAGGAUGGUAGAAUUCCAGGUGUAGCGGUGAAAUGCGUAGAGAUCUGGAGGAAUACCGAUGGCGAAGGCAGCCAUCUGGCCUAAUACUGACGCUGAGGUACGAAAGCAUGGGGAGCAAACAGGAUUAGAUAC